Molecule: small nuclear RNA, 21 nt
Filed under: Arabidopsis thaliana (thale cress)
Lineage: Eukaryota; Viridiplantae; Streptophyta; Magnoliopsida; Brassicales; Brassicaceae
Description: snRNA_05437
Source: RNAcentral
GCUUUGAAGAAAUCAGCAACC